RNAcentral lists this ribosomal RNA (472 nucleotides) under uncultured bacterium. Its description in RNAcentral is "bacterial SSU rRNA". It matches the Rfam family "Bacterial small subunit ribosomal RNA", at positions 335 to 800 of the family's 1533-position model. The record is from RNAcentral.
ACUCCUACGGGAGGCAGCAGUGGGGAAUAUUGCACAAUGGGCGCAAGCCUGAUGCAGCCAUGCCGCGUGUAUGAAGAAGGCCUUCGGGUUGUAAAGUACUUUCAGCAGUGAGGAAGGUGGGUAUGUUAAUAGCAUACUCAUUUGACGUUAGCUGCAGAAGAAGCACCGGCUAACUCCGUGCCAGCAGCCGCGGUAAUACGGAGGGUGCGAGCGUUAAUCGGAAUUACUGGGCGUAAAGCGCAUGCAGGUGGUUUGUUAAGUCAGAUGUGAAAGCCCGGGGCUCAACCUCGGAAUUGCAUUUGAAACUGGCAAACUAGAGUACUGUAGAGGGGGGUAGAAUUUCAGGUGUAGCGGUGAAAUGCGUAGAGAUCUGAAGGAAUACCGGUGGCGAAGGCGGCCCCCUGGACAGAUACUGACACUCAGAUGCGAAAGCGUGGGGAGCAAACAGGAUUAGAUACCCUGGUAGGACAGC